RNAcentral lists this ribosomal RNA (960 nucleotides) under uncultured bacterium. RNAcentral describes it as "bacterial SSU rRNA". It matches the Rfam family "Bacterial small subunit ribosomal RNA", at positions 8 to 963 of the family's 1533-position model. The record is from RNAcentral.
AGAGUUUGAUCCUGGCUCAGAUUGAACGCUAGCGGGAUGCUUUACACAUGCAAGUCGAACGGCAGCACGAAGAGCUUGCUCUUUGGUGGCGAGUGGCGAACGGGUGAGUAAUGUAUCGGAACGUGCCCAGUAGCGGGGGAUAACUACGCGAAAGCGUGGCUAAUACCGCAUACGCCCUACGGGGGAAAGGGGGGGAUCGCAAGACCUCUCACUAUUGGAGCGGCCGAUAUCGGAUUAGCUGGUUGGUGGGGUAAAGGCCUACCAAGGCGACGAUCCGUAGCUGGUUUGAGAGGACGACCAGCCACACUGGGACUGAGACACGGCCCAGACUCCUACGGGAGGCAGCAGUGGGGAAUUUUGGACAAUGGGGGCAACCCUGAUCCAGCCAUCCCGCGUGUGCGAUGAAGGCCUUCGGGUUGUAAAGCACUUUUGGCAGGGAAGAAACGGCGCGGGCUAAUAACCUGUGCUAAUGACGGUACCUGCAGAAUAAGCACCGGCUAACUACGUGCCAGCAGCCGCGGUAAUACGUAGGGUGCAAGCGUUAAUCGGAAUUACUGGGCGUAAAGCGUGCGCAGGCGGUUCGGAAAGAAAGGUGUGAAAUCCCAGGGCUUAACCUUGGAACUGCACUUUUAACUACCGGGCUAGAGUACGUCAGAGGGGGGUAGAAUUCCACGUGUAGCAGUGAAAUGCGUAGAGAUGUGAGGAAUUACCGAUGGCGAAGCAGCCCCUUGGGAUGAUACUGACGCUCAUGCACGAAAGCGUGGGGAGCAACCAGGAUUAGAUACCCUGGUAGUCACGCCCUAAACGAUGUCAACUAGCUGUUGGGGUUUAUUAAACUUAGUAGCGCAGCCAACCCUGGAAGUGGACCGCUUGGGGAGUACCGUCGCAGAUUAAAACUUCAAGGAAUUGACGGGGACCCCCACAGCGUGUGAAUGAUGUGGUUAAUUUCGAUGCAACGCG